UUUUGAGUUCUUAAUACAUUUUAGAUUUUUUUAAUUUUAUUUUUAUUAGUAUAUGUUUGCAGUUUGUAGUGAUCACAUUCAUCAUGGGGAGUUGGUACAUGUACAUAACUCACCUUAAUUCUUUUUACAUCCUCCCCUCUGCUCCCUUCCCUUCCUCCAUUUCUUCUAGAUAUUAAUCAUCUAUCAUAGAAGAGUAGCCGAUAAAGAUUUUCUCCCACUCUGGAGGCCAUCUCUUUACUCUGUUAGCUGUUUUCCUUGCUGUGCAGAAACUUUAAUUUGAGGUAGUCCCAUAUGUUUUGUUUUGUCUUGUUUUGUUUUGUUUUUGAGAUGGGGUCUUGCUAUGCAGUUAUAUAGUUCAAGCUGGCCUUGAACUCACUUUGUAGCCCAGGCUGGCCUCAAACUCACCUCAAUCCUCCUGUCUCAGCCUCUGGAAUUCUGGGAUUACAGACAUGUCCCACCAUGCCCAGCGAGUCUUACUAUUACUUACUGUACUAUUGGAGUCCUAUUCAGGAAGUCUUUACCUGUCUCUAUGGCUUCAAACAUUUCCCCUAUGUUUCUAAAAGUUUCAAAAUUUCAGGUCUUAUAUCUAUGUCUUUGAUCCAUUUUAAGUUGAUAUUUUUACAAGGUUUCUGAAAGAUACGGAUCUGGUUUUGAUCUUCUGCACAUGAAUAUCUAGUUUUCCCAGCACUGUUUCCUAAAGAAACUAUCUUUUCUUCAACAUAUGUUUUUGGCUCCUUUGUCAAGAAUCAGAUAACUAUAGUUUCAUGAGUUUGUUGCUGUGUCCUUACUCUAUCCUAAGGAUUCCUUCUCAUCCAGAGCUUCUUCCUUAGAAAAAGUUAGUAUCUAGGGGAUCAGAGGAUUGGGAAUCAGACAGAUAAGACUAGAAAAGACUGAGGGCCCAGGUAUCAGUUUUGCUGGAGAGUAAUACCAGAGAAGAGGCAAGAAAGAUGGCCCCAUGAGAUAAUUUCAUAGGAUUCAUAUUUACAGAUGAGAAAACGGAGGCACAAAAAACACUGCCGAGAAUCACAGUUUGUAAAUAGCAGUGUAGCAUUCAAACCUAGAUCCACCCAACUCUGAUCUGUGUACACGGGGAAGAAGUUGCUUGCAGUGAUAUCUAAGCUAGAGCUGAACCUCAGUUGAGUACCACGGACCCCUAAUGGGCUGAUGGAUGAGUAUACUAGACUGAGACUGUACGGUCUCAGUACUGCCAAAAUAAUACUCUCAGAAAGUUUCUGUGUUUUUGUUUAAAGGAAACAAGAAGAUACAGUGCCUAAGGAGCUAGGUUUCAGUUUGUCUCCCAGUGUUCAGGAAGAGUCCCUCUGCUUCAUCUUGGCCUGACCUGGGGGAAGGGAGCCGUGCGGAAGCUCAGAUGCACCUCCCUGCAGUGCUGCCUGUACCAGGCCGGCUUCGUGGCCCCAGAGCCCAGAAGCACUAGCCAUGCACAGGAGUGGGGACAGCUGAAAGUGGGCCAUCUCCUAAGAAGUGG
This 1486-nucleotide long non-coding RNA is filed under the name Heterocephalus glaber (naked mole-rat). Its description in RNAcentral is "lncRNA (ENSHGLG00000042207.1)". The record is from RNAcentral. Lineage: Eukaryota; Metazoa; Chordata; Mammalia; Rodentia; Bathyergidae.